This 799-nucleotide ribosomal RNA is filed under the name uncultured Glomeromycotina. RNAcentral describes it as "SSU rRNA". It matches the Rfam family "Eukaryotic small subunit ribosomal RNA", at positions 314 to 1114 of the family's 1831-position model. The record is from RNAcentral. Lineage: Eukaryota; Fungi; Glomeromycota.
AUCAACUUUCGAUGGUAGGAUAGAGGCCUACCAUGGUGGUAACGGGUAACGGGGUGUUAGGGCACGACACCGGAGAGGGAGCCUGAGAAACGGCUACCACAUCCAAGGAUGGCAGCAGGCGCGCAAAUUACCCAAUCCCGACACGGGGAGGUAGUGACAAUAAAUAACAAUACGGGGUUCUUUAGGAUCUCGUAAUUGGAAUGAGUACAAUUUAAAUCUCUUAACGAGGAACAAUUGGAGGGCAAGUCUGGUGCCAGCAGCCGCGGUAAUUCCAGCUCCAAUAGCGUAUAUUAAAGUUGUUGCAGUUAAAAAGCUCGUAGUUGAAUUUCGGGGUCAGUAGGUUGGUCGUGCCACAGGUAUGUACUGGUCUCACUGAUUCCUCCUUCCUGAAGAACCGUAAUGCCAUUAAUUUGGUGUUGCGGGGAAACAGGACUGUUACUUUGAAAAAAUUAGAGUGUUUAAAGCAAGCUAACGCUUGAAUACAUUAGCAUGGAAUAAUGAAAUAGGACGAUCGAUCCUAUUUUGUUGGUUUCUAGGAUUGACGUAAUGAUUAAUAGGGAUAGUUGGGGGCAUUAGUAUUCAAUUGUCAGAGGUGAAAUUCUUGGAUUUAUUGAAGACUAACUACUGCGAAAGCAUUUGCCAAGGAUGUUUUCAUUAAUCAAGAACGAAAGUUAGGGGAUCGAAGACGAUCAGAUACCGUCGUAGUCUUAACCAUAAACUAUGCCGACUAGGGAUCGGAUGAUGUUAAUUUUAUAAUGACUCAUUCGGCGCCUUACGGGAAACCAAAGUGUUUGGGUUC